ACGAACCGUACAAACGUUAUUCGGAAUUAUUGGGCUUAAAGGGUGCGUAGGCGGCGUGGUAAGUGAGGUGUGAAAGCCCUCGGCUCAACCGAGGAAUUGCGCUUCAUACUGCCACACUCGAGGGAGACAGAGGUAAGCGGAACUGAUGGUGGAGCGGUGAAAUGCGUUGAUAUCAUCAGGAACACCAGUGGCGAAAGCGGCUUACUGGGUCUCUUCUGACGCUGAGGCACGAAAGCUAGGGUAGCGAACGGG
Molecule: ribosomal RNA, 252 nt
Filed under: uncultured bacterium
Lineage: Bacteria
Description: partial 16S ribosomal RNA
Rfam family: Bacterial small subunit ribosomal RNA
Source: RNAcentral